RNAcentral lists this long non-coding RNA (339 nucleotides) under Heterocephalus glaber (naked mole-rat). RNAcentral describes it as "lncRNA (ENSHGLG00100033073.1)". Lineage: Eukaryota; Metazoa; Chordata; Mammalia; Rodentia; Bathyergidae. The record is from RNAcentral.
CUCCCCUCGGCCCUGCAGAUGUUGCUGGGUAUGUAUCGAGGCCAAUCUCUUAGACGUUUAAGUGGGUUUGAUGGAUGUACAGUGCCAUUCUGUGGCUCCUUUCAUCAAUAGGCAUGUGUGUCCUUCUUUGUCUAUUGUUUUGGGAUGUGAAACAAUUUCUUUUUGCUUUAGAUUUGAGUGUUGUAUAUUAAGAUGUCGGCCUCGUUUCCUGUCGUUCAUAUUUGCCUGGCUCACGACUUCAUUCCUCAAUCUCGUGAGGCCACGAAUCCAGUGCACGUGGCAACUGCUGGGCCCUCAGUCAAAGGCAGGCUGCAUCCACUCACCCACUGCGUCCUCUGG